RNAcentral lists this small nuclear RNA (104 nucleotides) under Myotis brandtii (Brandt's bat). Lineage: Eukaryota; Metazoa; Chordata; Mammalia; Chiroptera; Vespertilionidae. The record is from RNAcentral.
GUGCUUGCGUCGGCAGCACAUAUACUAACGUUGGAACGAUACAGAGAUUAGCAUGGCCCCUGUGCAAGGAUGACACGCAAAUUCGUGAGGCGUUCCAUAUACUU